GCCGAUGUAGCUCAAUUGGCAGAGCAGCUGAUUUGUAAUCAGCAGGUUGCAGGUUCGAUUCCUGUCAUCGGCU
RNAcentral lists this transfer RNA (73 nucleotides) under Caudoviricetes sp. RNAcentral's name for it is "tRNA-Thr". It matches the Rfam family "tRNA". From Rfam's summary of the family: Transfer RNA (tRNA) molecules are approximately 80 nucleotides in length. Lineage: Duplodnaviria; Heunggongvirae; Uroviricota; Caudoviricetes. The record is from RNAcentral.